GACGAACGCUGGCGGCGUGCCUAAUACAUGCAAGUCGAGCGGACGAAUCGAAAGCUUGCUUUUGAUUCGUUAGCGGCGGACGGGUGAGUAACACGUGGGCAACCUGCCCUGUAGACGGGGAUAACACCGAGAAAUCGGUGCUAAUACCGGAUAACACGAAAUGUCGCAUGACGUUUCGUUGAAAGACGGCGCAAGCUGUCGCUACAGGAUAGGCCCGCGGCGCAUUAGCUAGUUGGUGAGGUAACGGCUCACCAAGGCGACGAUGCGUAGCCGACCUGAGAGGGUGAUCGGCCACACUGGGACUGAGACACGGCCCAGACUCCUACGGGAGGCAGCAGUAGGGAAUCUUCCGCAAUGGACGAAAGUCUGACGGAGCAACGCCGCGUGAGCGAAGAAGGCCUUCGGGUCGUAAAGCUCUGUUGUUAGGGAAGAACAAGUAACGCAGUAACUGGCGUUACCGUGACGGUACCUAACGAGAAAGCCACGGCUAACUACGUG
RNAcentral lists this ribosomal RNA (498 nucleotides) under uncultured bacterium. Its description in RNAcentral is "partial 16S ribosomal RNA". It matches the Rfam family "Bacterial small subunit ribosomal RNA", at positions 28 to 507 of the family's 1533-position model. The record is from RNAcentral.